This is a long non-coding RNA of Oreochromis niloticus (Nile tilapia), 2620 nucleotides long. NCBI's taxonomy places the organism in Eukaryota, Metazoa, Chordata, Actinopteri, Cichliformes, Cichlidae. The record is from Ensembl.
CUGCAAACAUAUUCUUCACUCAGUGCUCCACAUGCUGACUGACAUGUUUUUCCUUUUUACAUUGCGUUUAAAGAUGAAAAAUGUAAGCCACAAUUGAUCCUGUGCUUAUUUUGUUAUCCACAUAUCUGUAACUGGGCAUUUCUCUUUAAUACAGUAACACAGCUUUCUCAUUGACGUAAUCUGUCAGUUUGAAGACUUCUUUCAAAAUAAAUGACGAAUGUUUCGUUCUCUUCCUCCCAGUUAAUCGCGAUAUAUUUUUGUUCUCGUCAAACUAAAAAGCGGAACAAGAACUUGUCACUUCCUUUUAUCCUCUCAGCAGAUGAAAGGAUAAACAGAACUUCAAUAAGACUUGAAACUAGCUUUUUUGAAAACCCUCUUAUCCGAGGCUUAUCACUGACACUUUGCUUCAGUUCAGAGCCGCACACGCGCCUGUUUUUAAUUAUUUUGAAAGCUGCUGAGUGGAUCAACAGUGAGCAGACAUGGAAGCUGUAGUUGGAUUGUUUUUGAUGAUGUUUGGAGUCUGUCAUGGUGUGGAAAGUUACUGUGAUGGCAGACCAGAUGGAGCUCAUUGUUAUGGAACUUUAGGAGGAACUUUGGACAUCAAACUGAUGGACAGCACCUCAGAAAUAAUCAGAUUCCAACUGUUCAAGAAUACAUCAGUAAUAAUAAAUGGGAGAAGCAACAGUUCUAAACAUAAUACAACAGAUGGAAGACUUCUCUUUUUUGCCAGUAAUGGAACGCUUAGGAUACAUAACCUAAGGAUGACAGACAGCGGUGAAUAUACCUUUAAGGGUUUUAAUUCAAGUGGACAAAUAUCAGCUGAGCGGACUUUACAGCUUUUUAUUCAAGAAGGAGGUAUUUUGCCAGUGAUCUGUGGUGUUCUGUCAGCACUGGUGAUUUUAUUAGUUGUGGGUGUAGCUGUCAUCUGUUUUGAGAGGAGAAAAAACAAAACAAAACAAAAAGAGGAAGAUGACCAGGAAGUAACGUACGCUGAUGUUAGGGUCAGGCAGCAGCAGGAGAAGCCAGUGAAGGGAAGAGAAGAGGAAGUGGAGUAUGGCCAAGUGAAACUUUCACAGUGAUCUCAUCAGAAUGAACCAGCAUGAUGAUUGUACAGGAAGAUUGUUUGUAUGGCAAAAUCCUUAAAAUCAGCUGAUUUAGAUGGUCAGUGCUUUUAUACGGACUGCACCACUAAAUGCCCACAGAGGGAGGAAGUGAAGUGCUAAAAUCCCUAAACAAACCAUCAAAACUCACAAAUACUGAUUUUCUUUGCUUCAUCUUUAUUUUUGUAUUACAACGGCGCAUAAAUUCAUCAUUUAAAUGGAAAUAAUUCAAGUAAUAACACUGAAGUUUUGUAUGAAUUAAAGUGGAGCAACAACGCUGAGCAUGACAACCCAUCCAGAUGUUACAGUUACAGAAUAUGAGAAAGCCUUGGUUUCAUCAAUGAUUAAUACUUUUUACUCUGUAAACAAAGACACGUCACUUUUUUAUUUAAAGACAAUUCAGAUUUAUUUAUAUAGAACCAAAUCAUAACAUGUCAAAAAACCCUACAAUGAUACAGAUAUGAGCAUGGCCAAUUACUUGUUAUAGUGACAAUAAUACCAUAUUGAUAAUGUUUUGUCAUCAGUCUGGGAUCUACAUAUGUGUUCGUCAGUGUUAUGGUGUAAAAAUCUCUUUAUGCUGAAUCAAAAAUAUAGUACUGUGAAUAAUGCUUCUGUUAUGCUAAAGAUGUUUUUUCUUUUAUUUUAAUUGACUGGGUUUUCAUAUAUUUUGCUUCUCUAUAGUUACACAGUCACAACAUAUUUGUAACAUUUAUUUUUGUGCAUUUGGUGAUUUACAGAAGUUGUCAUGGUCCCUGGGUCUCGGUAUUGAAGUUUGGGAUUUUUUAUAAGUUUGGAUUUUAGGUUAUCUUUGGAUUAGGUUUCUGUUAUUUUUACUAUUUAGUUUUCUGUUCACAUAAUAGUUUAUUCCUUUGUCUGUAUAUGUUUUUUUUUCUAGCCUUUUUGUUUCUGCCAUCGGUUCUUGGCUCUACUGAUGACUUUAAAUUUAGUUAGUUCCCCUUUCCAAUGUGUUCCUCCUUCUGUCUUAUCUCUGUCCUUUUCUUUCAGUGUUUCCUCAUUUCUGUCGACAUCUCUCAUGCUGUUUUCUUGUCUGCUUCCUUUAGUUACGCUCUUGUUUAACCGUUUAAAGACAAACUGCAUCAUGUUCAGUUUUCUUAAGAGUUUCUGAGACUUCAACAUCAUCACUUUGUUUUUUUGGUUCAGGCUUAAAGAGCUCAGUUCAGUUCAUGUUCAGUUUUUCUUAAUGAGGUUUUUAGCUUUUCUUCCUGGCUUUGCUCUCACUGAUUACCUGAUUAUCAGCCCAUCUGUCUCCUUUUCUCUGACUAACUAAUACUUUGACAUGACUGAAUGAUGUAAUUACUUUGUUUCUUAUCUCUUUAGAGUCUGUUUCACUUACAUGUUUUAUCACCAUUAAUGAUUUACUCUUUUCAAAAUAAUUACACUUCUAAUAUGUCAGUUGAAUUGCCUUUUUGUCAUGAUAAAAUAACAAUAAAUAAUUAUUAAAGUUUCAGUGAGUAAUCUAUAAUUUUUAUGGUAAGCUGUGUGGAAGACAGGGGUCGGAG